This 74-nucleotide transfer RNA is filed under the name Nothobranchius vosseleri. RNAcentral's name for it is "tRNA-Lys". It matches the Rfam family "tRNA". From Rfam's summary of the family: Transfer RNA (tRNA) molecules are approximately 80 nucleotides in length. Their secondary structure includes four short double-helical elements and three loops (D, anti-codon, and T loops). Lineage: Eukaryota; Metazoa; Chordata; Actinopteri; Cyprinodontiformes; Nothobranchiidae. The record is from RNAcentral.
CGUUAGGAAGCUAAACAGGGUUUAAGCAUUAGUCUUUUAAGCUAAACAUGGUGACUCCCAACCACCCCUAGCGA